GCCGGGCGCGGUGGCUCACGCCUGUAAUCCCAGCACUUUGGGAGGCCGAGGCGGGUGGAUCACCUGAGGUCGGGAGUUCAAGACCAGCCUGACCAACAUGGAGAAACCCCGUCUCUA
Papio anubis (olive baboon) is the source of this 117-nucleotide unclassified non-coding RNA. It matches the Rfam family "Metazoan signal recognition particle RNA". From Rfam's summary of the family: The signal recognition particle (SRP) is a universally conserved ribonucleoprotein. It is involved in the co-translational targeting of proteins to membranes. The eukaryotic SRP consists of a 300-nucleotide 7S RNA and six proteins: SRPs 72, 68, 54, 19, 14, and 9. The record is from Ensembl. NCBI's taxonomy places the organism in Eukaryota, Metazoa, Chordata, Mammalia, Primates, Cercopithecidae.